This 3975-nucleotide long non-coding RNA is filed under the name Homo sapiens (human). RNAcentral describes it as "HSALNT0330929". Lineage: Eukaryota; Metazoa; Chordata; Mammalia; Primates; Hominidae. The record is from RNAcentral.
GUGGCUGGUUCUCAACUCAUGCCUUCCUUCCCUGGCCACCCAAUUAAAGGCACACGGCCUCUUCCAUUCACUCUCAAUCACAUCGCCCUGUGGCAUUCUCCUAGCAACACUUUUCACAGAAAGAAAGAAAUGCUCUCAUCUCUUUCUUUCUCUCAUUGUUAUUUACAUUCCCUGGCAUGUAAGCUUCUUAAGAGAAAGGCUCUUGUUUGUCUUGUCCCCCCACUGUGCACUGUGGUUCUAGCAGCUAACACAGCAUCUGACUUGGAGUGGCUGCCCAGUACGCAUUUGAAGAAUGAAUGAAUGGAAAGUGAAUGAGCGAAUGGCUGGAGAGUAGAAGACGUGAGGGAUGGGGAAAGAAGAAAGACUGGAGAAGUGGGCAGGUGCCAGGCCUGGAAGACUGUACGUGGUGCUAAGAGGCCCCUGAAGGUAAUGGAAAGCCAAUCAAGGGUUUCUAGGAGGAUGUGAUGAGGAUGCGAUAAGGUAACACUGUGUUAUGUUGUUGGGAAUCAGUGAAGGUGGGAAACCUGGAACCCUGGAGAAAAUGAGUGACAACCAAAUCCUACGUUUGUUUGGUGUUUCCCCAUCAUCCCUCAAAGGGUGUGUAAGAUAGUGAGCCAUGUAGAAUAAGUAAUUAAUUAAUGCUGCGGGUUAAUAAGGGGUAGAUGACUCUCAAUUGCUACAUGCAAGCUGUUAUUUUCUCAUUUAGAAAAAGGAUCUUGUGGCUCACUGUGGAAAAUCAUCUUCCAGAAAAAAGAAAGAGACAUGUAUGUCGGCUCUGUCUAGAAUAUUUUCUCUGAACCAGAAUCUCUUUCCGUAGGGUAGCUGCCCUUGGCAACUCUCGGGUUACAAGAAGCUGGGCAGGAGAUUCCUGUGACAUUUCAGCAGAGUCACGAGUGGGUGGGAUGGGGAAGCUCCGAGCUGCAAAAUAGCUUGCAGUGCCUCGGAGAGGUGGCGCUGGCUAGCCUGGGACUUCCAACAUACAGCCUACAUUGAUGGCCUGAGACUUGUGGCAAAAAAGACUUUCAAAAUCUAAUUUGCUCACAUACAUGAACACCUGCCAGGAAGGAAUUUGAGGCCUUUGUUCUAAACAUGGAAAAGCUGAGUUCAUUUGCCCCAGAGGGGGCACCUGCAGGGAAAAGGAAAAAUGGUUUUAACCCUUUCCUUGAGUCAGAAAAUGAGGCCACCAGAUUCUCCUUUCAUCCUUCAAGUAUCAGAAAGGUCUGUGCUGUGAAUUCCACAGAUGAGAUUCAUUGCAAGAUGUGAGGGCAGAGGAAAUCCAUGGAAAUGAAAUCCACAUUCAAACUGGAUGCAUGCGUUCAGCAACUGGAAGCUGAGUUCAUAUUUCAUUGCCCAACUACCCUGACCACUUGGGAAUCGCAGGUUUGGAAGGACCCACAGCCAUUCUGUGGAAAUGGAUCUGCUUUCAGGACCGAAUCUCAGACUUCUUGGGGAAGGUUUCAGUGGCUGCCUUUGCUGUGCAGACCUGGAGAUGGGUCUGAUGAUCGGACACCUGAAUUAUCUGUGUGGCUGAGUUUCAAGAAGACCUGCUGGGGUGAAAUGAAAAUGGUGCCUACUAGAAGCCCCAGUGGCUUUGCUGGUGGAGAUUUGCUCCUCCACUGGCUCUUCUUGUAGACACACGACUGCUACAGUAUCAAGGGUCUGAUGCAGACAUGACAAUGUCAAGAGGAAGAGGAGAGCCUCGCUCUUCCCAGGCUUUUGCUUUUAAGAGCAGAAAAACUUUCCCCAGAGUUCCACCAGCUCACUUCUCAUCUUACUUCUUUGGCCAGAACUGGCCCUUGUGCCCAUAUUGUCAGUCAAAUGCCGACAAAGGAAAGGGGCCACUAUGAGUGGUUUAGACUUGGAUUGGAUUUGUCCUUAUUGGAUUGUCCUUAAGUCCUUUGAAAAAGAAGUAUACAACAGAAUGAAAUCUUGACUCAGCUUUCAAGAAUAAAGAGGGUGAGAUGACUGAUGGAUGGCUAGCAAAAUCAGAUGUGGGCUCUGUCCUCAUGGAGCAUACAGUCAGAAGGGGAAGAUUUACCUAAUUACACUAACAAACUUAUAACUGUGGUCAGUGUUCUGAAGGAAAGGAAAUCCAGUUGUAUGGUAACGUAUAACAAAGAAACUGAACUAGGAUGGAGAUGGGGGUGGUAAGUGUAGUUGGGGAAGCCAGGGACAUGAUCUGUAAGAUGGCUGGCCUGGAUUCAAAUUCCACUCCACUUACUUGCUGUGUGAUUUUAGAUUAGUCGCUUCUCCUCUCUGAGCUCAACUUCAUCUAUAACAAUCUUUCCUAGGGUUGUUAAAGGAUUGAAUGAGCCACUCUAUGUAACCACUUGACACAUAUUAGGCACUUCAGUGGCUCCUUUUCCAGAUUAAAGAAGGAGAAAACGUGUAUGUUUGGAGUUAGCACAAGACAGGAUGAUUCCUCAUGUUUGUUUUGGAAAACAAGUCUUAAACUCACAGCCAUGACAGAGUCUGACAUCAUCAGACAUCAGGCGUGUUAAGAAUUGCACUCUUAAUUGAAAAUGUCCAGAGUUUGUGAUUAAUUGCAAUCCUUUUCAGAUCCUUUCCCUAAGAAUUUAAUUUUUCUCCCCACCCACCCGGAGGUCAGGCUUUUAAUGUAACAAGUACAAUCAAUCUUCCACUGAAGAUGGCCUCUCUCUAGUGCAAGCUGGAGCAGGACUCAUCUGGAUUAGAAGCCUAGACGGUUUGGAGUCACCUGGUGAGGUUUACGUGCACAGCUGGGGCCCAGCCUACCUAAUUAGGACCAGAGAGUGGUUGAGAAGGGGACCGGCGCGUAUUCUAGGCGCCCUCCUCCAGUGUCUGUUUCUAAUAAUGGCAGAAAGUAGCAGAGGCGGCGGGGUGAGCUUGGAGCGUGGUGACAUCAUCCCUCCAGCUGUUUUACACAUCUGUGACAUGGCUCAUUAGGACUCUCUUAACACCUCAUCCUUCCCUGCUCCACACAGCUCCAGUUGCAUGAGAAAAGGUGCUCUUGCAUGUGAGGGGCCCCAAGACUGGGGCUGACUUCAGGGUCAAAGAUUCGCUUGGGCACUCUACCAGUCAUCAGAAUUUUCACAGAGACACCCCCCCAACACACACACCCGCAGCAUGCGCUCCUUGAAAGUGCUAAUAGCUUCAAUAUGAGGCUGGCACUUCUGCAUGACUGUUGGUGUUCAGGGCCAGCCUAGUCUUGGGGAGUAGGCCAUCUGUAGCAGCUGCAGAAAUGUUUUUGCUUAUUUUGAGCAUUCUAAGUUUUUCCUAGCCAUGAAUAACAACAAUCGAAUAAAUCAUCCCACAGUGUGUAGGAUGGUCGUUUUUUUGUUUUUUUUUUUCAGCAAGAACAACAAAAAAUGACAUAUCAUGUACUAUGGAUAAUACACAUAAAAAAUUCCGCCAUAUUUAUAGGCAGCAGUUAACUAACUAUAUUUAGAUAUUUGAAACUGUCUUAAAUCAGAUGAAUGAUAAAAGCUUCCUGGAUUUCAGUGGAAAGCCUAAAUGACUAAACCAAAAAAAAAAAAAAAAGUUUUAUUACUAUGAAGUAUAGUGCAUAUUCUGAAAUAAAAGAUAUGUGAUAUUUAUAAAAUAAAAAGAGAAACUUUGUCAAUAGACAGCAUCAUUUAAUAAAGCAGGGUCCCAGAUUUACAGACCUUUGUUUGAGUUCUAAAAUUUACUAGGAAGGAGGGUGCAGGGGUGGAAGCCGUUCAUUGUAGCUCUUUAAAUUUCCUCACUUUUGAAUGGAGAUGAUAAAAUGCCCCUCACAGGGUUUUUGAGAGGACUAAAAAUAUAAGGUAUGGAAAGUGUUUAGCAUUGUGCCUAUCACAAAGUUAGUGCUUGAAUAUAUUAGCUAUUGUCAUUAAUACUAUUGCUAUUCUUAUUUCUUCUACAACUGUUAUUGUUGAAAUGCGAAGUCAAAAUGGUACAUUUUUAUCAACUAUUAAGUGCUAUCAUGUUUCAAUUAAUACAUAAUGUUAUUGAUUA